Molecule: ribosomal RNA, 439 nt
Filed under: uncultured bacterium
Lineage: Bacteria
Description: partial 16S ribosomal RNA
Rfam family: Bacterial small subunit ribosomal RNA
Source: RNAcentral
CUACGGGAUGCUCCAGUGGGGAAUCUUAGACAAUGGGGGAAACCCUGAUCUAGCCAUGCCGCGUGAGUGAUGAAGGCCUUAGGGUCGUAAAGCUCUUUCGCCAGGGAUGAUAAUGACAGUACCUGGUAAAGAAACCCCGGCUAACUCCGUGCCAGCAGCCGCGGUAAUACGGAGGGGGUUAGCGUUGUUCGGAAUUACUGGGCGUAAAGCGCGCGUAGGCGGGCUGUUAAGUUAGAGGUGAAAUCCCGGGGCUCAACCCCGGAACUGCCUUUAAUACUGGCAGCCUAGAGUUCGAGAGAGGUGAGUGGAAUUCCGAGUGUAGAGGUGAAAUUCGUAGAUAUUCGGAGGAACACCAGUGGCGAAGGCGGCUCACUGGCUCGAUACUGACGCUGAGGUGCGAAAGCGUGGGGAGCAAACAGGAUUAGAUACCCGGGUAGUC